This 459-nucleotide ribosomal RNA is filed under the name uncultured bacterium. Its description in RNAcentral is "partial 16S ribosomal RNA". It matches the Rfam family "Bacterial small subunit ribosomal RNA", at positions 338 to 795 of the family's 1533-position model. The record is from RNAcentral.
CCUACGGGCGGCAGCAGUGAGGAAUAUUGGUCAAUGGGCGUAAGCCUGAACCAGCCAAGUCGCGUGAGGGAUGACGGUCCUAUGGAUUGUAAACCUCUUUUAUCAGGGAAUAAAGUGCGCCACGUGUGGCGUUUUGUAUGUACCUUAAGAAAAAGCAUCGGCUAACUCCGUGCCAGCAGCCGCGGUAAUACGGAGGAUCCGAGCGUUAUCCGGAUUUAUUGGGUUUAAAGGGUGCGUAGGCGGACUUUAAAGUCAGCGGGAAAAUUCUGGGGCUAAACCCAGAAGUGCCGUUGAAACUGGCAGUCUGGAGUAGGCGAGAGGUAGGCGGAAUGCGUGGUGUAGCGGUGAAAUGCAUAGAUAUCACGCAGAACUCCGAUUGCGAAGGCAGCAUACCGGGGCAUGACUGACGCUGAUGCACGAAAGCGUGGGUAUCGAACAGGAUUAGAUACCCGAGUAGUC